GAGUUUGAUCAUGGCUCAGGAUGAACGCUAGCGGCAGGCCUAACACAUGCAAGUCGAGGGAGGAGCCUUCGGGCUUCGACCGGCGUACGGGUGCGUAACGCGUAUACAAUCUGCCUUUCACAUAGGGAUAGCCCGAAGAAAUUUGGAUUAAUACCUAAUGGUAUAUAGGAGUGGCAUCACCUUUAUAUUAAAGCUGAGGCGGUGAAAGAUGAGUAUGCGUUCUAUUAGCUAGUUGGAGAGGUAACGGCUCCCCAAGGCGACGAUAGAUAGGGGUUCUGAGAGGGAUAUCCCCCACACUGGUACUGAGAUACGGACCAGACUCCUACGGGAGGCAGCAGUGAGGAAUAUUGGACAAUGGUCGGAAGACUGAUCCAGCCAUGCCGCGUGCAGGAAGACGGCCUUAUGGGUUGUAAACUGCUUUUGCAGGGGAAGAAUAAGGAGUACGUGUACUUUGAUGACGGUACUCUGCGAAUAAGCAUCGGCUAACUCCGUGCCAGCAGCCGCGGUAAUACGUAGGGUGCGAGCGUUAAUCGGAAUUACUGGGCGUAAAGCGGGCGCAGACGGUUACUUAAGCAGGAUGUGAAAUCCCCGGGCUCAACCUGGGAACUGCGUUCUGAACUGGGUGACUAGAGUGUGUCAGAGGGAGGUAGAAUUCCACGUGUAGCAGUGAAAUGCGUAGAGAUGUGGAGGAAUACCGAUGGCGAAGGCAGCCUCCUGGGAUAACACUGACGUUCAUGCCCGAAAGCGUGGGUAGCAAACAGGAUUAGAUACCCUGGUAGUCCACGCCCUAAACGAUGUCGAUUAGCUGUUGGGCAGCAUGACUGCUUAGUAGCGAAGCUAACGCGUGAAAUCGACCGCCUGGGGAGUACGGUCGCAAGAUUAAAACUCAAAGGAAUUGGCGGGGACCCGCACAAGCGGUGGAUGAUGUGGAUUAAUUCGAUGCAACGCGAAGAACCUUACCUGGUCUUGACAUGUACGGAACCCUCCAGAGACGGAGGGGUGCCUUCGGGAGCCGUAACACAGGUGCUGCAUGGCUGUCGUCAGCUCGUGUCGUGAGAUGUUGGGUUAAGUCCCGCAACGAGCGCAACCCUUGUCAUUAGUUGCCAUCAUUAAGUUGGGCACUCUAAUGAGACUGCCGGUGACAAGCCGGAGGAAGGUGGGGAUGACGUCAAGUCCUCAUGGCCCUUAUGACCAGGGCUUCACACGUCAUACAAUGGUCGGUACAGAGGGUAGCCAAGCCGCGAGGUGGAGCCAAUCUCACAAAACCAAUCGUAGUCCGGAUUGCACUCUGCAACUCGAGUGCAUGAAGUCGGAAUCGCUAGUAAUCGCAGGUCAGCAUACUGCGGUGAAUACGUUCCCGGGUCUUGUACACACCGCCCGUC
RNAcentral lists this ribosomal RNA (1382 nucleotides) under uncultured bacterium. RNAcentral's name for it is "partial 16S ribosomal RNA". It matches the Rfam family "Bacterial small subunit ribosomal RNA". The record is from RNAcentral.